UGUUAAUAUGUUUUUCUAGAGUUGUGACUUUAGCAAUAUUUUUCUUCUCUCAGCCUUAUACUCCCUCAACAAUCAUCUGCACAAUGAGGUUCACAAGCUUGCUGCAAAAUUCAAGAAAAGUUAUGUGUGGGAGUUAUCACUAAACAAAUGACUGCAAUAGAAGAAAUGGUUGCAAGUGAGUACAAUUAGCCAGACCCUCAUCUUUGUGACAAGAUCUUGAAGUUGGUCAUUUGUGAAGCGUUCUACUUUGCUAUUAGUUGCAGUUUUAAUUAUUGUUCUCUCAAUAUAUUCUUUUUCUUUCUUUCUUUCUUUGUUUCCAAAGGAUGAUCAGUGUAAUAAUUAAGCUUCAUAAUUUCUGUGUUUGGAUCCAAGUUGUAUAUAAAUGUCACAUUAUUAAGAUUUCAUUUUGUAUAUGUACAAGUAAAAGAUUUCAUUUUUAA
Long non-coding RNA from Cucumis melo (muskmelon), 440 nucleotides. RefSeq lists it as uncharacterized. The transcript has 2 exons. Lineage: Eukaryota; Viridiplantae; Streptophyta; Magnoliopsida; Cucurbitales; Cucurbitaceae. The record is from RefSeq and is a predicted model, not a curated record.